Molecule: long non-coding RNA, 1236 nt
Filed under: Crocodylus porosus (Australian saltwater crocodile)
Lineage: Eukaryota; Metazoa; Chordata; Crocodylia; Crocodylidae
Description: lncRNA (ENSCPRG00005002436.1)
Source: RNAcentral
AUGUGCUAUAAAUCCAUACUGGUAAUGAGAUCCAUCCCAGAAAUCCUAAAGAGGACCCAUGAAAACACCUCUCUUGGCAUCUCCCGGCACCUUGUAGAAGAGAGCAGUUCCACCAGUACUAGCGGUUCCUCUUCAGACAAUGAGAACUCAUCCUUCGCCAAGAGGAGGCACUUUGGCUCUUCCCCAGAAUUGCACUUGUCUGUGUUUGAAGUACCAAGUUAUAAAGAACCUCCCACGAAGGCACCUCAAGAGAAACAAGCCAAGGCCUUAGCAACUCCAGUAAAACCCAUGAGACGGAAAUACGCCUUAAUGAAGAAUGAAGUGGAUGACAGGUCGCCUACGGAAAGCAGAGAAGUAAUACCAGAUGCCUCAGCUCAGAAAGGAGAAGAGAUUUGUCCUGAAGUCAAAGAUGAACAAGCAGACCAGUCUCAAGAGAAAGCUGCAGAAAAGCCUUUGCUGGUGAAGGCAGAAGCCGUCAUCGAGGGAGCUGGCUUAGCCUCACAAAAAGAAAAGAUGGAUGUGACACUACCUGAAAAAGACCAACUUGACAAAGGUGGUGACGGAGGAGGAAAACCCCCUUUGUGCGUCCCAAGACAGAGCAUAAUUAAAAGCACCUUCUACAGCCAAGCGUCUGAGCUACCAGCCAAGGGGUCUAUCUCACCGGGGAGCGACCUCAGAAAGCAUCUGGAGAGAGCAAGACGGACCUACAGGAAAGCAGGGUAUUCAAAAGUACCUCUCAGUGGCCUUCGUGAGCCCCUCCUAGAACACUUUGAACUGGAAGAAGAAGAGAGGCUAUCAGGCGAUGAAGACUAUGGGAAGCACAGAGAAGGUCUGACCAAAUCAGCUUCAUUCGAUACUGCAAGGAAACCACCCCACCCCACCUUCAGUGUUUCCAGAAGAAGCCGUUCCCUGGAUGAUUACAGAUUGAGAGCUUUCAGGCUAUCCAAGGAAGACAGCAUUAAGGAAGAAGAGGGAGAUCAGGCUGCGCAGGAGGGUGGUCCAAGACCAGCUCAUGAGCAGGACGCUUCUGCCGACAGCAGUGAGGUGCAUGCAGAAGAGCUUUCCAGGGAGGAGGACUCUAGGAAGGCUAGAAAGGAUUGCUUAGAAGAGUCUGGUCCUUCUGCACCAUGUGAAGAGGUCCGACGUUCAACUCUACCUGCUCAACCAUCAGAGAGGGUUUUAGUCUCAGCUCAUGAGGGUGAAACAGAGGAGCACCCGAAGCCACAACCUUCUGCU